UACGUAGGGUGCAAGCGUUGUCCGGAAUUAUUGGGCGUAAAGGGCUCGUAGGCGGUCUGUCGCGUCGGAUGUGAAAAUCCAGGGCUCAACCCUGGACCUGCAUUCGAUACGGGCAGACUAGAGUUCGGCAGGGGAGACUGGAAUUCCUGGUGUAGCGGUGAAAUGCGCAGAUAUCAGGAAGAACACCCGUGGCUAAGGCGGCUCUCUAGUACGGUACUGACGCUGAGACGCGAAAGCGUGGGGAGCGAACAGG
Molecule: ribosomal RNA, 253 nt
Filed under: uncultured bacterium
Lineage: Bacteria
Description: partial 16S ribosomal RNA
Rfam family: Bacterial small subunit ribosomal RNA
Source: RNAcentral